AGUGGCGAACGGGUGAGUAACGCGUGGAUGAUCUACCUACGAGAUGGGGAUAACUAUUAGAAAUAGUAGCUAAUACCGAAUAAAGUCAAUUAAUUUGUUAAUUGAUGAAAGGAAGCCUUUAAAGCUUCGCUUGUAGAUGAGUCUGCGUCUUAUUAGCUAGUUGGUAGGGUAAAUGCCUACCAAGGCGAUGAUAAGUAACCGGCCUGAGAGGGUGAACGGUCACACUGGAACUGAGAUACGGUCCAGACUCCUACGGGAGGCAGCAGCUAAGAAUCUUCCGCAAUGGGCGAAAGCCUGACGGAGCGACACUGCGUGAAUGAAGAAGGUCGAAAGAUUGUAAAAUUCUUUUAUAAAUGAGGAAUAAGCUUUGUAGGAAAUGACGAAGUGAUGACGUUAAUUUAUGAAUAAGCCCCGGCUAAUUACGUGCCAGCAGCCGCGGUAAUACGUAAGGGGCGAGCGUUGUUCGGGAUUAUUGGGCGUAAAGGGUGAGUAGGCGGAUAUACAAGUCUAUGCAUAAAAUACCACAGCUCAACUGUGGAACUAUGUUGGAAACUAUAUGUCUAGAGUCUGAUA
RNAcentral lists this ribosomal RNA (573 nucleotides) under Borreliella garinii. RNAcentral describes it as "bacterial SSU rRNA". It matches the Rfam family "Bacterial small subunit ribosomal RNA", at positions 94 to 653 of the family's 1533-position model. Lineage: Bacteria; Pseudomonadati; Spirochaetota; Spirochaetia; Spirochaetales; Borreliaceae. The record is from RNAcentral.